This 324-nucleotide ribosomal RNA is filed under the name uncultured bacterium. RNAcentral's name for it is "bacterial SSU rRNA". It matches the Rfam family "Bacterial small subunit ribosomal RNA", at positions 28 to 334 of the family's 1533-position model. The record is from RNAcentral.
GACGAACGCUGGCGGCGUGCCUAACACAUGCAAGUCGAACGGGACUUAUUGGAUCGAGGCUUCGGCCAAGUGAAUUUAAGUUUAGUGGCGAACGGGUGAGUAACACGUGAGGAACCUGCCUUUCAGUGGGGGACAACAGUUGGAAACGACUGCUAAUACCGCAUAACAUCUUUGGACCGCAUGAUCUGAAGAUCAAAGCUUUAUGUGCUGAAAGAUGGCCUCGCGUCUGAUUAGAUAGUUGGUGGGGUAACGGCCUACCAAGUCGACGAUCAGUAGCCGGGUUGAGAGACUGACCGGCCACAUUGGGACUGAGAUACGGCCCAG